Molecule: non-coding RNA, 596 nt
Organism: Oryctolagus cuniculus (rabbit)
Lineage: Eukaryota; Metazoa; Chordata; Mammalia; Lagomorpha; Leporidae
Source: RefSeq, a predicted model, not a curated record
AUGAUUUUUAAUUCCAUGAAAUAAUUUAAAGAUAGAAAUACAGCCCCCAUCAAAACCACACAUUCAGUCAAGAAGAUCUGGGACUAAUGUUAGAAAUUUUGCCAUCUAUUUGGAGGAGGCUGAUGGAAAUCCAGUGGCUCUGGAAUUUUAAGGGAGAUAAUGCAGAAGGCAUGCCUGUACUGAAAAGGAAAAAAGGUAUGGAUAGUGAGCUUCUAUUGUGUGCCAGACACCACACCAGGUUCUGUGGACAUAGAAGUGGGUAAGACAUCAUACCUGCCCUCCAGAAGUUGAGCAGAUUGGUGCAUUAGGCAAAGAAGCAAACAAUUAAUUACAACACCAUGUGAUAAGCAACCCUUCCAGAUAUGUGCACAGACCUCUAAGGGACCUUGGCUGGAGCAGGAGAGGAAAAAUACUAAAAAGAAAAAGAAGAUGGGAGGAAGGCAAGGAGAAGAAAGGAGUGUUAAUAAAGCAUCACCGAGAACAAGGAGAUUAUGGUGGACAAAUACGACUUUCCCAAACCUUUGCAAUGAAUGGCAAAUCUCUGAAGUUGGUGCAACCGCUUUUCAUUUUCCUUUUUUUUUUUUUUUUUUUUUUUU